AAGUUAAGGUAGGCGUGUGUGAUAGGGAAGUAAGCAGACAGGUAUUCACAGGUCUCACCUUUCCGCCCCUUCCCUCUUUUGUUGUGGAUUUCCUCACUGAAAAGAGGAACUUCACAUUAUUUUUGUAAAGUUUCGCAAGGACACCAGCUCAAUUUCUCAAGAAAAACUUUAUUUUUAGGGGGGGACUCAACAGGUUGAAGUUCUUUUGCACAUCCUGCAAUGGAAACCUUCCUCCCGGGGCCCCAACCAAGAGGCAAAGACGACAGCGGGCCACCUUGCAGGGAGGUUGCGUGCCAUGGCCACGGCUAUUGCGAGAUCCCCCCCGCAAGUGGUACCGACUUUGCGUGCGUGUGUGACCUGGGCUACCAGGGAGAUUCCUGCGACGAGACGGUCAACAGGUCGCUGAGUCUCCCCCUGACCCUGGGCGUGGUGGGCUUCCUGGUCGGCAUAAUCAUUUUGGCUUUCGUCUUCGCCAAGUUACGACAGACACAAAAACAGAGAAAGAGGGACUUGCAGCAAAUCUUGGCUAAAAAAGGCCUGUGUGAUGAGGCCCAAUCACCUUAACAGCAGAGGUACUCCUCUGACUUUUUGACCAGUGAUUCUUCAUUCAACAUGCACCAAAUGCAAACUUUCAAGUUUUCAACGAUGGACAUUUUCUGCGCCUCUUCUAGCCCAUUGAUUAUUUCAUUUGCAGUGAAAUGACAAGUGAAUUUCCCUCAACACUAACACAAAGUAUGCGCUACUGUUUUCAAAAGGAGAACAAAUGUCAUAUGGCCCAGCAACCUCCUGUCCAUGAAAACAUGAACUCUGUUGUGUUUGAAUGAAGCUUUGUUACUUUAAAGUCUCACAGCUCAAACAUUCAAAGGGAGUGUAUUUGGUCCAACCCACUCAUUUCCUUUUGAAUGCUUUAAGAAUGUGAAAUGUUGUCCAUUUCCAAACUGUUUCCAUUCUUUACUAAAAAGCUAAAUAUAUUUAUUAUGAAUUAUCAACACUGUAAUUAAUGUCUAAACAACUUUAAUUUUACUUAAGCACUUAUAUUGUACAAGGAUGUGAUUAUUUAGUUGAUGCUCCUGUUAUAUUUUAAUCAAGUAAUUUAAUUGCCAACUGUUCUUAAAAUAUAUUGUGAAUAGAUGUUGUCAAUUUGUUGUACAACAAAUCCAAGUGGUGCAAAAACCUGGAAUAUUUCAAUGACCAAAGUGCUUCCAUUUUAUAGUAUUUUUUUUAUUCUAAUUUACUGAGUGAAACUUUAAACUACCUAGCACCUAGGUACAAUUACAAAUGUUAAUUUCUUUGUUUCCAGGGAUUCAUUUUCAGAAGUUUGUUAGUGUCCUUUUUUUCAUACCAAUCAAUCGUAUUCCAGAAGUUACUGUUUAAAAUGGCAAGUCCUUUUGCGCUUAUAUUCUGUUAUUCAAUAAAACCUGCUCCUUUGACCCAC
This is a long non-coding RNA of Nerophis ophidion (straightnose pipefish), 1435 nucleotides long. RefSeq lists it as uncharacterized. The transcript is spliced from 4 exons. Lineage: Eukaryota; Metazoa; Chordata; Actinopteri; Syngnathiformes; Syngnathidae. The record is from RefSeq and is a predicted model, not a curated record.